RNAcentral lists this ribosomal RNA (583 nucleotides) under uncultured fungus. RNAcentral's name for it is "eukaryotic LSU rRNA". The stretch from base 218 to 371 matches the Rfam family "5.8S ribosomal RNA". Lineage: Eukaryota; Fungi. The record is from RNAcentral.
UCUUGGUCAUUUAGAGGAAGUAAAAGUCGUAACAAGGUCUCCGUUGGUGAACCAGCGGAGGGAUCAUUACCGAGUUUACAACUCCCAAACCCCUGUGAACAUACCACUUGUUGCCUCGGCGGAUCAGCCCACUCCCGGUAAAACGGGACGGCCCGCCAGAGGACCCCUAAACUCUGUUUCUAUAUGUAACUUCUGAGUAAAACCAUAAAUAAAUCAAAACUUUCAACAACGGAUCUCUUGGUUCUGGCAUCGAUGAAGAACGCAGCAAAAUGCGAUAAGUAAUGUGAAUUGCAGAAUUCAGUGAAUCAUCGAAUCUUUGAACGCACAUUGCGCCCGCCAGUAUUCUGGCGGGCAUGCCUGUUCGAGCGUCAUUUCAACCCUCAAGCACAGCUUGGUGUUGGGACUCGCGUUAAUUCGCGUUCCUCAAAUUGAUUGGCGGUCACGUCGAGCUUCCAUAGCGUAGUAGUAAAACCCUCGUUACUGGUAAUCGUCGCGGCCACGCCGUUAAACCCCAACUUCUGAAUGUUGACCUCGGAUCAGGUAGGAAUACCCGCUGAACUUAAGCAUAUCAAUAAGCGGAGGA